Molecule: non-coding RNA, 189 nt
Organism: Vicia faba (fava bean)
Lineage: Eukaryota; Viridiplantae; Streptophyta; Magnoliopsida; Fabales; Fabaceae
Source: the annotation of a GenBank genome assembly
AUGGGAGACAUACCUGCAGUAGUGAAGCCAGCAACACAACCUCCGCGUCCAUCAAGAGCAGAACAGGUUUCAUCUGACACCAAACCUACAGCAUCUGAUAUAGUAGUCGCUCCUUCUGAUGCUCAUUUUCCUUCACCUCCUAAGAUAGUCAUAAGCAGCCGCAACAGGAUUGAUAUGCAGAAAUGGUAA